UGUUUUGAAACCUUUAAUCAC
This 21-nucleotide non-coding RNA is filed under the name Caenorhabditis elegans. The record is from RNAcentral. Lineage: Eukaryota; Metazoa; Nematoda; Chromadorea; Rhabditida; Rhabditidae.